Molecule: long non-coding RNA, 389 nt
Filed under: Theobroma cacao (cacao)
Lineage: Eukaryota; Viridiplantae; Streptophyta; Magnoliopsida; Malvales; Malvaceae
Description: long non-coding RNA (TCAC_LNC000831)
Source: RNAcentral
CGAUCGGCAUUCGGGGUGAAUAAUGUUUGUCGAGGCCUUGCGGCGGUUGUCACGAGCCCGAUGGGGAGUUCCAGGUCGUGACAAAUGUUAUAGUGAAUGAUGAUGUGGCAUGUUAAUAAGCCAUGAUAAUAUAAUCACAUGGUAUUUUUUACAUUCCAUAUCAACAUUACGCGAUAUUAAGAAAACAAGUGAUAUUUUGAUUAAUGAUAGUUAAUCAACUGUUAAUCGUAAAAAUAAAAUAUAAAAAUUUAAUUGAAUGUAAUAGAAAAAUAAAAAUUUAUAUAAAUUAUUUUAAUAUUUCAAAAACCGUUGAAAGUAUCAUGUUAUUAUCUUACAAUUGGACGUAUUCCCACAAUAGAAGUUGCAUUGCAAGUCCUUGCACGCUCUAG